RNAcentral lists this ribosomal RNA (253 nucleotides) under uncultured bacterium. Its description in RNAcentral is "partial 16S ribosomal RNA". It matches the Rfam family "Bacterial small subunit ribosomal RNA", at positions 524 to 776 of the family's 1533-position model. The record is from RNAcentral.
UACAGGGGGGGCAAGCGUUGUUCGGAAUUACUGGGCGUAAAGGGCUCGUAGGCGGCCAACUAAGUCACACGUGAAAUCCCCAGGCUUAACCUGGGAACUGCGUGUGAUACUGGAUGGCUUGAAUCCGGGAGAGGGAUGCGGAAUUCCAGGUGUAGCGGUGAAAUGCGUAGAUAUCAGGAAGAACACCCGUGGCGAAGGCGGCUCUCUGGGACGGUACUGACGCUGAGACGCGAAAGCGUGGGGAGCGAACAGG